AUUGAACGCUGGCGGCAGGCUUAACACAUGCAAGUCGAGCGGGGAAGGGUAGCUUGCUACCUGACCUAGCGGCGGACGGGUGAGUAAUGCUUAGGAAUCUGCCUAUUAGUGGGGGACAACGUUUCGAAAGGGACGCUAAUACCGCAUACGCCCUACGGGGGAAAGCAGGGGAUCACUUGUGACCUUGCGCUAAUAGAUGAGCCUAAGUCGGAUUAGCUAGUUGGUGGGGUAAAGGCCUACCAAGGCGACGAUCUGUAGCGGGUCUGAGAGGAUGAUCCGCCACACUGGGACUGAGACACGGCCCAGACUCCUACGGGAGGCAGCAGUGGGGAAUAUUGGACAAUGGGGGGAACCCUGAUCCAGCCAUGCCGCGUGUGUGAAGAAGGCCUUAUGGUUGUAAAGCACUUUAAGCGAGGAGGAGGCUCCUAUAGAUAAUACCUAUAGUGAGUGGACGUUACUCGCAGAAUAAGCACCGGCUAACUCUGUG
RNAcentral lists this ribosomal RNA (487 nucleotides) under uncultured bacterium. RNAcentral describes it as "bacterial SSU rRNA". It matches the Rfam family "Bacterial small subunit ribosomal RNA", at positions 30 to 507 of the family's 1533-position model. The record is from RNAcentral.